RNAcentral lists this long non-coding RNA (424 nucleotides) under Otus sunia (Oriental scops-owl). RNAcentral describes it as "lncRNA (ENSOSUG00000015629.1)". The record is from RNAcentral. Lineage: Eukaryota; Metazoa; Chordata; Aves; Strigiformes; Strigidae.
CGCUGGGGCUGGGAUGUGCCCGGCAGCAGCCCCGCUCCGCUUCACUCAGGGCCCAAGCCGGCUGCAGACGCCACCCGUCACAUCGCAGGCCAAGCCAGAUGGGCAAGCAAUACAAGCUGUGAACUUAUUCUUGACCCCUGUAGGACAGUGACCACCUUCAUUUUUGUCUUCACCAUACAGAUACACACUGCCAAUAAGUGACCACAGCAACCCUCGUUUCUGGCUGGGGAAUGCAUUACAAGCCUCACUGCUAAUUACAACAUCGCAGUGUUCCUAGAGGGUACCUGAGUUCAGCGGUGCUUAGCUACAGCGCCGGGCGAGGGGAUUUAUGGGGUGAAGUGACAUCAGCCUGCGCAUGGCAGUUCUGGUAAGGUCAAAGUGAGUCUCUCUUGCAGAUCAGGAGUCAGAUGGGUCCUGUUCAGAC